AAAUUCCAUUGCUGCAAAUCAUAAUCUCAAUUUCUCCUCCCAAAUCAUCUUCCCAAAUGACGAAAAACCCUAAUUUUACCUCAACCAAUCAUCUUCCCCAAAUCAAUUGUUCUUGGUUGCAAUCCCCAACUUCAACUCAAGAACCCUAACUUCAGAAAUCAAUUCAAUCGGUGAGAAGGGUACAAACAAUCUGCCGAAAUUUGAACUGCAGAUACAAUAAUCAACAGUUUGUUGAAUCGUGACCGUGAUUUGAACUGAAUUAAAGAAGGGCUCUAUUUCCAAUUAAGCAAUCAGCCUAGACGGUUUGUUUGUCCCAUUUUUUCAAGAAUAAAUUAUUGAAGGGAAAAGAUGAAUGUUGCUAUGGAGAAAAGGACGUGGGGAUCUCACUCAAUGGUACUAUCCGCAAGGGAAAAUGAGAUAAAAAGAACGAGAAACAAGAGGGAAGAGCUCAUUGAAAUUGAACCGCUUAUGUUAUUCGUUAAAAAAAUUAAAUUGUAAUGGACAUGGUGUACCGUUGUUAUUGUAAUCUUGCAGUGUUUUUAGUACGACCCUAUCAAGAUUUCUGGACUAGUUUUUGCAAUGUAAAAUUCAUUUUGUUAUUGUAAUCGGCAUUGCUAGUUUCUGGACUACAUAUAUUGGUUUUGGAGUGAUUUUUCCCAUGAUAUCUCGAAUAAGGGAUUCAUCAUUUCAAAUAUAAGUGAACUUCUAGUCGCA
Molecule: long non-coding RNA, 714 nt
Organism: Olea europaea var. sylvestris
Lineage: Eukaryota; Viridiplantae; Streptophyta; Magnoliopsida; Lamiales; Oleaceae
Exons: 2
Source: RefSeq, a predicted model, not a curated record